This 443-nucleotide ribosomal RNA is filed under the name uncultured bacterium. Its description in RNAcentral is "partial 16S ribosomal RNA". It matches the Rfam family "Bacterial small subunit ribosomal RNA", at positions 338 to 795 of the family's 1533-position model. The record is from RNAcentral.
CCUACGGGAGGCUGCAGUGGGGAAUAUUGGGCAAUGGGCGCAAGCCUGACCCAGCAACGCCGCGUGAAGGAAGAAGGCUCUCGGGUUGUAAACUUCUUUUGUUAGGGACGAAGCAAGUGACGGUACUUGCCGAUUAAGCCACGGCUAACUACGUGCCAGCAGCCGCGGUAAUACGUAGGUCGCAAGCGUUAUCCGGAUUUACUGGGUGUAAAGGGCGUGUAGGCGGGACUGCAAGUCAGAUGUGAAAACCACGGGCUCAACCUGUAGCCUGCAUUUGAAACUGUAAGUCUUGUGUACUGGAGAGGCAGACGGAAUUCCUAGUGUAGCGGUGAAAUGCGUAGAUAUUAGGAGGAACACCAGUGGCGAAGGCAGUCUGCUAGACAGCAACUGACGCUGAGGCGCGAAAGCGUGGGGAGCAAACAGGAUUAGAUACCCUUGUAGUC